AAUGACACGAUCACUCCCGGUUAA
Molecule: microRNA, 24 nt
Filed under: Callorhinchus milii (elephant shark)
Lineage: Eukaryota; Metazoa; Chordata; Chondrichthyes; Chimaeriformes; Callorhinchidae
Description: Cmi-Mir-425_5p (mature (co-guide))
Source: RNAcentral